UUAACGCGCAGGCCGGAGGCUGGCCCCCCCACGAUAGGGUCAAACGUCCGUCAGGGGUGAGCAGAUGUGCGCCGGCCGUACCGCCCCAUUCUUGUCUACCUUACUCGGUUGCCUCGGCGGGCCGCGCUCUUUCAGGAGAGCCGUUCGGCGAGUCUUUCUUUAGUGGCUCAACGCUGGACCGCGCCCGCCGGAGGACAGACGCAAAAAAUUCUUUCAGAAGAGCUGUCAGUCUGAGCGUUAGCAAGCAAAAAUCAGUUAAAACUUUCAACAACGGAUCUCUUGGUUCCGGCAUCGAUGAAGAACGCAGCGAAAUGCGAUAAGUAAUGUGAAUUGCAGAAUUCCGUGAAUCAUCGAAUCUUUGAACGCACAUUGCGCCCCCUGGUAUUCCGGGGGGCAUGCCUGUUCGAGCGUCAUUUCAGCCCCUCAAGCCCGGCUUGUGUGAUGGACGACCGUCCGGCGCCCCCGUCUUUGGGGGUGCGGGACGCGCCCGAAAAGCAGUGGCCAGGCCGCGAUUCCGGCUUCCUAGGCGAAUGGGCAACAAACCAGCGCCUCCAGGACCGGCCGCCCUGGCCUCAAAAUCUGUUUUAUAUUUAUCAGGUU
Molecule: ribosomal RNA, 600 nt
Filed under: Trichophyton mentagrophytes
Lineage: Eukaryota; Fungi; Ascomycota; Eurotiomycetes; Onygenales; Arthrodermataceae
Description: eukaryotic LSU rRNA
Rfam family: 5.8S ribosomal RNA (bases 260-413)
Source: RNAcentral